GGCGACGUGGUCGAAUGGCUUAGGCAGCGGACUGCAAAUCCGCGUAUCCCGGUUCGAUUCCGGGCGUCGCCUCCA
This 75-nucleotide transfer RNA is filed under the name Armatimonadetes bacterium CG_4_10_14_3_um_filter_59_10. RNAcentral's name for it is "tRNA-Cys". It matches the Rfam family "tRNA". From Rfam's summary of the family: Transfer RNA (tRNA) molecules are approximately 80 nucleotides in length. Their secondary structure includes four short double-helical elements and three loops (D, anti-codon, and T loops). Lineage: Bacteria; Bacillati; Armatimonadota. The record is from RNAcentral. RNAcentral also lists the same sequence under 3 other names.